This 201-nucleotide ribosomal RNA is filed under the name uncultured bacterium. Its description in RNAcentral is "partial 16S ribosomal RNA". It matches the Rfam family "Bacterial small subunit ribosomal RNA", at positions 328 to 544 of the family's 1533-position model. The record is from RNAcentral.
ACGCUCGACACCUACGGGGGCAGCAGUGGGGAAUAUUGCACAAUGGGGGAAACCCUGAUGCAGCGACGCCGCGUGGAGGAAGAAGGUCUUCGGAUUGUAAACUCCUGUUGUUGGGGAAAAAGAGGAUGGUACCCAACAAGGAAGUGACGGCUAACUACGUGCCAACAGCCGCCGGUAAGUCUGAGCGGGCGUGGCAAGGCG